GGGGAUUUAGCUUAGUGGUAGAGCGCUUGCCUAGCACGCACAAGGCCCUGGGUUCAGUCCCCAGCUCCG
RNAcentral lists this transfer RNA (69 nucleotides) under Rattus norvegicus (Norway rat). It matches the Rfam family "tRNA". Rfam says of the family: Transfer RNA (tRNA) molecules are approximately 80 nucleotides in length. Their secondary structure includes four short double-helical elements and three loops (D, anti-codon, and T loops). Lineage: Eukaryota; Metazoa; Chordata; Mammalia; Rodentia; Muridae. The record is from Rfam by way of RNAcentral.